Numida meleagris (helmeted guineafowl) is the source of this 716-nucleotide long non-coding RNA. RefSeq lists it as uncharacterized. The transcript is spliced from 3 exons. The record is from RefSeq and is a predicted model, not a curated record. NCBI's taxonomy places the organism in Eukaryota, Metazoa, Chordata, Aves, Galliformes, Numididae.
GGCGGAGAAAGCACAUGGUCCUCCUGCAGUUUACUGCCAUUAUGUGCUUACCGUGGUGGAGACAACCAUGAGUGGCUUGAAACAUAUCCAGUACCCCAUGCUACUGCCCAGAACACCAUAUUAGGUCUCAAGAAACAAAUCACAAGGCACUCCAGAAAGAAUUGAGUCAGUAUUCCAUAUGGUAACUCUCUGGGAGUUAAAGAGUUAAUUCUCCAGCUCCGUGGAUUGCAGUGGUGAAGAAGGUAUCCCAAAGAGGAACGAACUUCUGCAAAUGUUAGUCUGGCAUGUUUCUUGGAGUCUUUGGAAGCCAAGGACAUUUGGCUUGGUAAUAAUUCCUAGAAAUGUCAGUAAUAAAUGAAUAUUUCACAUGGGAUCAAUGUGAUCCUUGUUAAGACAAAUUCUUUAUGUAAGACUUCUGAAGAUUAUGACAUCUGGCAUUAUUAGCCUGCAUCUCUCAUAUUGUGAAAUGUCAGUGCUUGUUUUUUGUGAACCUCAUGUUACAGCAUCUAUGUAUAGAAAGUUUGGAUUACGUGUACACUGUGUAAUACUUUUUUUUUUUUUUAAUUGAAGGAUUCUACUUAGGAGAUUGCUUUCUGAGUCCUCAUUACUGCUCUAGAGAACUUAGGUUAGUAUUAUUACUUUUGUUCAGCUUGUUUCUGUUCUCUUUCAAAUGUCCUAAUAAAAGAAAAUGGAAUUACACUGACAUUUUUAUUUAA